Molecule: ribosomal RNA, 253 nt
Filed under: uncultured bacterium
Lineage: Bacteria
Description: partial 16S ribosomal RNA
Rfam family: Bacterial small subunit ribosomal RNA
Source: RNAcentral
GACAGAGGGUGCUAGCGUUGUUCGGAAUGACUGGGCGUAAAGGGCGCGUAGGCGGUUUUUCAAGUCAGAUGUGAAAGCCCCGGGCUUAACCCGGGAACGGCAUUUGAUACUGGAUGACUGGAGUACGAGAGAGGAAAGCGGAAUUCCUAGUGUAGAGGUGAAAUUCGUAGAUAUUAGGAGGAACACCAGAGGCGAAGGCGGCUUUCUGGCUCGUAACUGACGCUGAGGCGCGAAAGCGUGGGGAGCAAACAGG